UGUGGAUAUCUGUAUUUCUUUGAGGGACUAAUCUGGAGACAGGUAGACCAAUUCUGCAGACCCAGCUGCAAAGUUCCAGAGAUUGCUUCAAGCUGGCUAAUUAACAACCCAGCCAUUGUUGACAUGCUGUCAGCCUGAGGUCCAGGUGGACUGCAACUCAAGAUAAGCAGCUGAAGAAGACACACAGCCAUUAUACUCAUCCCCAUUCUUACACGCCUUCCUUAUCAAGUUUUCCUUUUUAAACCCCUGCCUUUCCUCCCACGCCCCUAAAAAGUCAAAGUAGUUACUUUGGAUGGCAAUCCAACUGCUUCCCCUUUGCUAGGUUUGGUUAAUAAGUUACUUUCUCCCAGACCUCACUCUUGUUAAUUGGACUCUGCAAGCAAUGAGCAUCCGGAACUGAUUUGUUCAGUUGGUGACAUGCCCUGUGUGCUCCGGGGGCUGAGCCGGAGGGUCUGGUUUCCAUCAGACAAACCAUGGGGCUGCCUGCUGCCUGUGAAAUACAGCUGCUUGUGGCUAGCUGACCCCUUAGCUGGAACGGUGGGGAGUUUCCUUGAGGCUGUCUUAGGGGGAUCCUCUCUUUCUUUUCCUGUUGCAGUGUCUGUUGCCUUCAGUGCUUCGUUGGUUCAAACAAAGUGAUCUUUAGAGAAGUGGACAAACUUUGAAACUAGAAUUUUGGAACUUUGAACUUCAGAACUGAGUGACUCAGUUGGAGUGCACCCGAACACCCUCUGCCCCCUUUGAACUGUUGCUGGGGCUCUGCUCUAUUUAGACUUGGCCGCUAGUGAAACCAUUUGAGCAUUUUAUGCGUUUGUAUUUGUGGCACCUGUGGGGCUUUUCUCGGUUUGGACUUAGUCGCCCGUGGGUAAGGUGGGGAGGGAAGGCGUUUGAAUCUGAGGUGAGGGAUUUGACACUCUACCCAGCCUCUUAAACGGGAGUUUCUAUGGAGGUUAAUAAUUAUCAAAUAUAUGGCAAUGCUGGACUUUAGCUGAUCAUCGUGCUUCUGGAAAACAACAAAAAUUGAGAUAUCUGUUCACCACUUUGUGUGUCCAAGGACCACCUACUUUUUACAUGUGACAAGAACUACCCACCUCCACUCUUCAGGAUAGAACAUGCUGAAGAAAAGAGUUGCAAUGAGAAAAUAUAUGGGAACAAAAUACCUAUGCAAUGCAGAAGUCUGCAUAACUGAACCACUCAGAGGAAAAAGUUUCCCUCCCAGGCUGGAGUACAAUGGCGCGACCUCGGCUCACUGCAACUUCCACCUCCCAGUUCAAGCAAUUCUCCCACCUCAGCUUCCUUAGUAGCUGGGAUUACAAGUGCCUGACACCAGGCCAAGCUAUUUUUGUAUUUUUAGUAGAGACGGGGUUUCACCAUUUUGACCAGGCUGGUCUCAAACUCCUGACCUCAGUCCAUCGGUCCACCUCGGCCUCCCAAAGUGCUGGGAUUGCAGGCAUGAGCCACCGCUCCUGGCCUCAAGUUUAAUUCUUAAGUGAGUCAAUCAGUUAUAGUUCUGUUCAAAGCUUUCAGUGCACCUAAAAUUUCAUCCAACAUCUAUUAUCUUUCAUCAUAUGCUAAAACAGCUUGAAGAUGUAUAUGAUUUUAUAAAAAAUAAUCUAUAAAACAAAACAACCAAAUUAAGGGUUUACAUUUUAAAGCACCAAUAUUCACCUAUAGUUGGUGAAUGUACAGUUAGAAUGAAAAAAAAUAGAAUUUUGGUGAAUUCUGAAAUGGUUCCACCCUAUCCAAACAAGUUGUAUUAAUGCAUGUAUACAUUUCUUAAUAGAUAAAGUACUCGAAUUGCUACAAAUACAGAAGCUUACAAGUUUCCAGUGAGAAUAGGCUCUGUCAAAAACUUUGCUGUAUAUUGAUUAAUUUUGUUACUAUAAAACAAAAAGAUAUCUUUCAAUUGAAAAAUAUCAAAUGCAAAGUUUUGAAUUAUAAAAGCAGCUUCAAGCAAAUAAUAAUUUUUACCCAGCAUCAAAAUUUACAUAUUUAAAGGGCAUAAGCAAGCAUUGGGCACAGAUAAAGCAUUCUUUUCCCGGAGGAUCCCAAAACCAACAGACGGAGCAACAAAAACUCAUUUUCCUCCUAUAUUAACAUGUAUUUCAAUUUUGGAUUAAGAAGUUUUGACAAUGUGUGCAGAAACACAAUUCACAAAAGGAAACUAUUAUGGUUUUGGAGACUUUUUCUUUUAUAUACUGUUGAUUGCAUUGAGAAAAAAAUUAUUUAUGGGCUUCUCCCUAUUUUCAAGCCAGCCAGCUAUCCUAAAUUCAUAUGUUUUAUUUUAAAUUAUAACAAAUCAAGACCAUGAUAUUAUCGUCUGCUCCAGACAACAGCCUUUCCCUAGUUUAUACCAUUAACAUUUUAUUAAUGGUAUUUAUAUUUGGUAUUAGUAGGAGGUCAUUAUAAUUUUACAGGAAUGUCUAAUUGAGAUAAUUAAUUCACUCUUUUAUGUUAAUACUUUUCUACCUAGCAUCACAUAAGAUAAUGGAGGUGUGAUUUUUUUCAGUAAUUUUUGCUAGUUUAAUAAAUGACUUAAUCCUCCUCAUCCAUAUUCAUUUUGAAAUUAUACUUAGUAUUUUAAUAUAAAAGAAUAAGAUAGCAUAAUACUGAAUCUUCUAUGCAUUACAUUUCAUGAUUCUUUAAUAUUGUUUUGAUCAGAGAAUAAAGAAAAAUAUCUUCGACUAGUUUUGAUAUCCUGAAAGUUUAUCAUGUUUUUUUCCUCACCUAGACUGAAUAACCUCUGAUUUGGGGAAGUCCUUAAUACUUUUACUUUAAUUAUAAAAUUAAUCGUAGAUUAUCUCUUCAUAUAUGUAUGUGUUUGUGUGUAUGCAUGUGUGUGUAGUAAAUCA
RNAcentral lists this long non-coding RNA (2849 nucleotides) under Homo sapiens (human). Its description in RNAcentral is "HSALNT0011855". The record is from RNAcentral. Lineage: Eukaryota; Metazoa; Chordata; Mammalia; Primates; Hominidae.